GACGAACGCUGGCGGCGUGCUUAACACAUGCAAGUCGAACGGAAAGGCCCUGCUUGCAGGGUACUCGAGUGGCGAACGGGUGAGUAACACGUGGGUGAUCUGCCCUGCACUUCGGGAUAAGCCUGGGAAACUGGGUCUAAUACCGGAUAGGAGCCAUUUUUAGUGUGAUGGUUGGAAAGUUUUUUCGGUGUAGGAUGAGCUCGCGGCCUAUCAGCUUGUUGGUGGGGUAAUGGCCUACCAAGGCGGCGACGGGUAGCCGGCCUGAGAGGGUGGACGGCCACAUUGGGACUGAGAUACGGCCCAGACUCCUACGGGAGGCAGCAGUGGGGAAUAUUGCACAAUGGGCGCAAGCCUGAUGCAGCGACGCCGCGUGGGGGAUGACGGCCUUCGGGUUGUAAACUCCUUUCGCUAGGGACGAAGCUUUUUGUGACGGUACCUAGAGAAGAAGCACCGGCUAACUACAUG
This 465-nucleotide ribosomal RNA is filed under the name uncultured bacterium. Its description in RNAcentral is "partial 16S ribosomal RNA". It matches the Rfam family "Bacterial small subunit ribosomal RNA", at positions 28 to 507 of the family's 1533-position model. The record is from RNAcentral.